Molecule: ribosomal RNA, 465 nt
Filed under: uncultured bacterium
Lineage: Bacteria
Description: bacterial SSU rRNA
Rfam family: Bacterial small subunit ribosomal RNA
Source: RNAcentral
CGCCUUAUACUCCUACGGGAGGCAGCAGUGGGGAAUAUUGCACAAUGGGCGCAAGCCUGAUGCAGCGACGCCGCGUGAGGGAUGACGGCCUUCGGGUUGUAAACCUCUUUCAGUAGGGAAGAAGCGAAAGUGACGGUACCUGCAGAAGAAGCACCGGCUAACUACGUGCCAGCAGCCGCGGUAAUACGUAGGGUGCGAGCGUUAUCCGGAAUUAUUGGGCGUAAAGAGCUCGUAGGCGGUUUGUCGCGUCUGUCGUGAAAGUCCGGGGCUUAACCCCGGAUCUGCGGUGGGUACGGGCAGACUAGAGUGCAGUAGGGGAGACUGGAAUUCCUGGUGUAGCGGUGGAAUGCGCAGAUAUCAGGAGGAACACCGAUGGCGAAGGCAGGUCUCUGGGCUGUAACUGACGCUGAGGAGCGAAAGCAUGGGGAGCGAACAGGAUUAGAUACCCGUGUAGUCCACGUACCA